AGGAAAGCAAAACAGCCUUAUUGUUGAUUUGGAGAAAGUUUGAGUGGUCUGAAUAGAAGAUCAAACAGCCAUAACAUUUCCUUAAGCCAAAGCCUAAUCCAGAACAUGUCUAAAAAUGCCCUUCCUGAACCUCUGUACUUAAUUGAUAGUUGACUAGUUACAGAGUUCUAGACUGGCAUUAGAAUUCUAAUAGGAUAGCCCCAUUAUCUUCUGGCAUGACUUCUGCUGAUAAGAAAUUCCAUGGAUAUUUAACCUUUGGAGAAUGCCAGGUGAGCAAGUUGUCACCGUAGGAAUCAGAAUGGACGUUAUCAUCCGUAGUGAGAAUGGCAAAUGGAUAAUCAACAUCAGCCCAAUUGCCAGACUAAAACAUCAUUAUGACAGACUUCAUUUGCAAGAAUUCUUAAA
This 405-nucleotide long non-coding RNA is filed under the name Homo sapiens (human). RNAcentral describes it as "HSALNT0298112". The record is from RNAcentral. Lineage: Eukaryota; Metazoa; Chordata; Mammalia; Primates; Hominidae.